This 496-nucleotide ribosomal RNA is filed under the name uncultured bacterium. RNAcentral describes it as "partial 16S ribosomal RNA". It matches the Rfam family "Bacterial small subunit ribosomal RNA", at positions 28 to 506 of the family's 1533-position model. The record is from RNAcentral.
GACGAACGCUGGCGGCGUGCCUAAUACAUGCAAGUAGAACGCUGAAGCGAGGAGCUUGCUCUUCUUGGGUGAGUUGCGAACGGGUGAGUAACGCGUAGGUAACCUGCCUGGUAGCGGGGGAUAACUAUUGGAAACGAUAGCUAAUACCGCAUAAAAUGGAUUAUCGCAUGAUAAUCCAUUGAAAGGUGCAAGUGCAUCACUACCAGGUGGACCUGCGUUGUGUUAGCUAGGUGGUGGGGUAACGGCCCACCAAGGCGACGAGACAUAGCCGACCUGAGAGGGGGAUAGGCGACACUGGGAGUGGGACACGGACAAGACUCCUACGGGAGGCAGCAGUAGCGAAUGGGCGGCAAUGGACGGAAGUCUGACCGAGCAACGCGGAGUGAGUGAAGAAGGUUUUCGGAUCGUAAAGAUCUGUUGUAAGAGAAGAACGGGUGUGAGAGUGGAAAGUGCGCACUGUGCGGGUAUCGGAACAGAAAGGGACGCUAAACUCGGU